This is a transfer RNA of Kockovaella imperatae, 109 nucleotides long. It matches the Rfam family "tRNA". From Rfam's summary of the family: Transfer RNA (tRNA) molecules are approximately 80 nucleotides in length. Their secondary structure includes four short double-helical elements and three loops (D, anti-codon, and T loops). The record is from Rfam. NCBI's taxonomy places the organism in Eukaryota, Fungi, Basidiomycota, Tremellomycetes, Tremellales, Cuniculitremaceae.
GUCCGCUUGGCCCAGGGGUAAGGCGCUUGACUUCGAGGUCUUGUUUUCGUCACAUUAGCGAUCAAAUCUGUUAAUCAAGCGAUCGGGGGUUCAAAUCCCUCAGCGGAUU